GUAUUAUAUGAAAGUAGAGAAGGUUAGCACUUCCCUUGACAAGGAUGGAAGAGGCCCUGCAGCUGACAACUUGCGUAUGGUUGAGGCAUUGUCACCUGCUUUCUGGCAUCUAACCUUUGUUUUUU
Molecule: small nuclear RNA, 125 nt
Organism: Dipodomys ordii (Ord's kangaroo rat)
Lineage: Eukaryota; Metazoa; Chordata; Mammalia; Rodentia; Heteromyidae
Source: Ensembl